This 253-nucleotide ribosomal RNA is filed under the name uncultured bacterium. RNAcentral's name for it is "partial 16S ribosomal RNA". It matches the Rfam family "Bacterial small subunit ribosomal RNA", at positions 524 to 776 of the family's 1533-position model. The record is from RNAcentral.
UACGAAGGGGGCUAGCGUUGCUCGGAAUCACUGGGCGUAAAGCGCACGUAGGCGGAUUGCUAAGUCAGGGGUGAAAUCCUGGAGCUCAACUCCAGAACUGCCUUUGAUACUGGCGAUCUUGAGUCCGGGAGAGGUGAGUGGAACUGCGAGUGUAGAGGUGAAAUUCGUAGAUAUUCGCAAGAACACCAGUGGCGAAGGCGGCUCACCGGCCCGGUACUGACGCUGAGACGCGAAAGCGUGGGGAGCAAACAGG